Molecule: long non-coding RNA, 2073 nt
Filed under: Homo sapiens (human)
Lineage: Eukaryota; Metazoa; Chordata; Mammalia; Primates; Hominidae
Description: HSALNT0224963
Source: RNAcentral
CAGCAAAAGGAAGACAGGCUACUGGACAGAAAGGGACGGGUCCCAGUGAAGCCCCACCUUCAAGCCAGGGAUGGCUUCAAUCCUGGAGGCCGCGCUGUCAGUUCCGGUCGGAGUCUGUGGCCUGGAGUGAGCACUAAUGGUUCUUUUUCCAGGCCCGCCCAUGGCCACCCAUGGACCAAUCAGCAUGCACUUCCUCCCUUCUGAACCCAUAAAAACCCCGCUCCCCGGACGCAGCCGGAGUCACGCGAAGUCGGAAGUACCAGCUGCGGGAAGGAGCUGCCCACUGUGCGUCUUCUCAACUUGUUGGGACAACCUUCCUGCGGAAAGGAGAGACAACCUUCCUGCAGAAAGGAGCUACCUGCUUCAGGUCUACUGAGAGCUGUUCUGCCACUCAAUAAAGCUCUUCUCCAUCUUGCUAAGCCUCCAUUUGUCCGCAAUACCUCAUCUCCCUGGACGCAGGACAAGAACUCAGGACCCGCCUGGAGGUACUAAAAGAGCUUUAACACAAACAGGGCUGAAACACGCUCCCUUGCUUGCCACAUUGCGGGUGACGAGAAGGAGAAAAGAGCUGUGUUCCUUUGAGGAUCCCAGACCUAGGGUCUCCCUGAGCCAGGGCUGUGACACUCCCUUUGGGGUUCUAUGGUUCCUGGCAUCUUCAAGCUUCCAGGCGCCACCACCUUCGUUCCCUUCAUCCAAACAGGUGCCCACAGCAGAAUCCACAUGCCGUCCAUCUGGUCCAGCCUCACGCAGAGCCACAACUGUGCUGGCGCCUGGAGCUGCCAGCCCCACUGCAGCAGCCGGACUGACAUUCAGACGUGGAGCAAGUUGGACUGCAUAGGGACCCACCAGUGAGAUGGACGCUGUCUGUAAACGGGGAAAUUUAUGGAAAGAUGUCCUCCUGCAACUGCUGAAAAUGCAACAUGCUGCCCAGGUCCUGCUCAGACCACUGACAACUCAGAAGUUAAUACUCAGAGUGGAAAGCGUAGCAAAGUGUAGUACAUGAGCAAGCGUUUCAAGCCAGACGGAGUUAAUCAUCUCUGUCACUGAAUUGGAGCUCACGGUCUGCUGGACAACUGUGCUGAGUGGAAAGGAAGCCUCGAUGGCUAAGUCACUUGUCCAACCUCAGACACUGGCAGAUCCAGGAUUCAAACAGCUAGACUCCAAAUGUGUUUCCUUUAACCUCUUUUCUACCUUUUCAACUUGAUUCCACACAUCACCACUGGGAAAGCUUAGGUGAGUAAGUCAUGUGGGCUUUGGUUUUUUCAUCUGCACGAUGGAUAGACUGAGACCUUCUUCCCUCAUGCCUCUGAGGAUGACAUAAAAAACCCACAAAAUCCCUAGUCCACUUACUUGCUCACAGAUAUUUACUGAGUGAGCAUCUGAUUUCCAUCCCAUUGUCACCUUCUCCCUAGCUGUCCAGACACCCUGCUUGCCUGGCCAAUGCCACCAAAGAAUGGAACCUGCUUUUGUUCCACACUCCGUAGCCAGAAAAAAGAGACAGUUGUUCUGGCAUGUUAUUGUUUGAUUUUAUUUUACCUCAGGGAUUAAAAAAAAUGACUAUCAAUUAUAGCAACAUCAGGUAGAGGGUUUGGUAUACAUUUCCGAUGAGCUUAGAUUUCUCUCAAAUUCUCAUACUUUUAAGAUUUAUUUUUAAAUGUGAGCAUUGAAACUUAACCAAUCCUUUAGACUCUUACUCAACAAGGGAUUCUAAAGAACAUUUCUCAGUAGGAAUUAAUCAUUUAUUUUGAAACUACAUAUCUAAUUUGUCUACUAUGGGAAGGAUAUGGAAAGAGAAAACCCAAUUCUUUUUAUUUUUUGGAACAGCUGGGUCCCCAAACCACCAGCAGCUGCUUCACAAAUUGCCUAGCCAUUAAGUAAUUAUUUCCUCAUCAUAAGAGCAGCUGGAAGAGCUAGUCUCUCUCCCUCCCCAGUGCAACUCCCACUUCCUUCUGCCUCCUCCACCCUGUCCUGAAAUGGGCAGGCCAAGAGGUAUACGGUAUUGGUUUUCUUUACGUAAUUGAAGACUGGAAUUGAGCACUCUGAUAGCUGAUUAUUUUUCAACAGCGCUUACCU